This 323-nucleotide unclassified non-coding RNA is filed under the name rhizosphere metagenome. Its description in RNAcentral is "partial ribosomal RNA internal transcribed spacer region". The record is from RNAcentral.
GUAGGUGAACCUGCGGAAGGAUCAUUAACACGUAUCCACGUUUAUAACCCGAGAACUCUUAGGUAGCUUAUUCAAGAAAAGCUUCAUGAGAGCUCAAAACCCUUUCGGGGGCUUUGGGACCUGAUGAAGUCUGCCCUAUUCUCGGCUUAGCGGCUGAGUUAGGGCUAUUGAAUCAGCUCCUUCGAACUCCUUCAGGGACAAAUCUUCGGAGGCGUCCCUGAAGGCUACUUGAAACCCCUUUUUUCUAAACUAAAGGCCGUCCCUUUGUGGACCGCUUUUAACCGAAUGCUGUACAACUCUUAGCAACGGAUAUCUUGGUUCUG